Molecule: ribosomal RNA, 458 nt
Filed under: uncultured bacterium
Lineage: Bacteria
Description: partial 16S ribosomal RNA
Rfam family: Bacterial small subunit ribosomal RNA
Source: RNAcentral
CCUACGGGGUGCAGCAGUGAGGAAUCUUGGUCAAUGGGCGAGAGCCUGAACCAGCCAAGUCGCGUGAGGGAGUACUGCCCUAUGGGUUGUAAACCUCUUUUGUCGGGGAGCAAAUGCCGGACGUGUCCGGCUGUGAGAGUACCCGAAGAAAAAGCAUCGGCUAACUCCGUGCCAGCAGCCGCGGUAAUACGGAGGAUGCGGGCGUUAUCCGGAUUUAUUGGUUUUAAGGGGUGCGCAGGCGGAUUUUUAAGUUAGCGGUCAAAGCGUGGGGCUAAACCCCAUCCAGCCGUUGAAACUGGGGAUCUAGAGUGUGCGAGAGGUAUGCGGAAUGCGUGGUGUAGCGGUGAAAUGCAUAGAUAUCACGCAGAACCCCGAUUGCGAAGGCAGCAUACCGGUGCACAACUGACGCUCAGGCACGAAAGCGUGGGUAUCGAACAGGAUUAGAUACCCCGGUAGUC